RNAcentral lists this long non-coding RNA (609 nucleotides) under Capra hircus (goat). RNAcentral describes it as "lncRNA (ENSCHIG00000000709.1)". Lineage: Eukaryota; Metazoa; Chordata; Mammalia; Artiodactyla; Bovidae. The record is from RNAcentral.
UCAUCUGUAUAAAUAACUACAAACAUAUUUGGAGGAAGAGAAGGAAACUAGAGUGAGAUGUGACAAGAAGAAAAUAAAAUCAACACAGGGAGAUAUACAAGUACCCAUCCUAAGAUGCUGCCCUCUCAGUGUGGACUUCAGAGAGAACACACAUGGAGCAUACGCAUAUUGAAGCCAGUGCCACCUGGCGAACCUGGGACCCCUGCAAUGGAAGCACAGAGUCUUACCCACUGGAACACCAGGGAAGUCCCCACUCUGAUGAAUUCUUCAGAGUAUUUCUCACUUCUUAUGGUGGAAGGAGGAAGUUUUCAUGUGACGUCCCUUCACCCUCUCUUUCUAUCUUGUGGGCAGAUUCACAGAAACAGCCAGGGUCACACAAUUGAACAGCAGUCAGAUUCCUCUCACCAUGGUAGAGCAGAACCCUUCCCAAGUACUGAGCUCAGAGGAGUCAACAGAAUCACACUGAGCUUGUCUGAAGAGAAAAAUUCACACCACUCCAGGAUUCACCUUAAUGGCCAGGCUCUCACUAACCAGGCCCCAGACCACAGACCUUUCCCUCUUUCUUCCUUUCUUAUCAAGCUUUCCUACUAUGUCUUAUACACCAUUUAG